GCAGCCAUGCCGCGUGUAUGAAGAAGGCCUUCGGGUUGUAAAGUACUUUCAGCGGGGAGGAAGGUGUUGUGGUUAAUAACCACAGCAAUUGACGUUACCCGCAGAAGAAGCACCGGCUAACUCCGUGCCAGCAGCCGCGGUAAUA
Molecule: ribosomal RNA, 145 nt
Filed under: uncultured bacterium
Lineage: Bacteria
Description: partial 16S ribosomal RNA
Rfam family: Bacterial small subunit ribosomal RNA
Source: RNAcentral